GACAGAGGCCUCAAGCGUUAGGCGGAAUCACUGGGCUUAAAGCGUGUGUAGGCGGAUCGUUAAGUGCCUUGUGAAAUCCCACGGCUUAACUGUGGAACGGCUGGGCAUACUGGCGGUCUUGAGCCAUCUAGGGGCGACUGGAACAAACGGUGGAGCGGUGAAAUGCGUAGAGAUCCGGAGGAAGACCGGUGGCGAAGGCGGCCUGCUGGGCAGUUACUGACACUGAGGCGCGACAGCGUGGGGAGCAAACAGG
RNAcentral lists this ribosomal RNA (253 nucleotides) under uncultured bacterium. Its description in RNAcentral is "partial 16S ribosomal RNA". It matches the Rfam family "Bacterial small subunit ribosomal RNA", at positions 524 to 776 of the family's 1533-position model. The record is from RNAcentral.